RNAcentral lists this non-coding RNA (1082 nucleotides) under Anolis fuscoauratus. RNAcentral's name for it is "partial contains 12S small subunit ribosomal RNA, tRNA-Val, and 16S large subunit ribosomal RNA". The stretch from base 1 to 946 matches the Rfam family "Bacterial small subunit ribosomal RNA". Lineage: Eukaryota; Metazoa; Chordata; Lepidosauria; Squamata; Anolidae. The record is from RNAcentral.
AACAAAAAGUUUUGGUCCUAAACUUACUGUUAUUUUUAACCAAGAUUAUACAUGCAAGUAUCCGCAUUCCAGUGAAAAUGUCCAUUCAAAUAUUAGGAACAGGUAUCAGGCACGAACACUCAGCCCAAAACACCUUGUUUUACCACACCCCCACGGGUAAUCAGCAGUAACAAAAAUUAAGCUAUAAGCGACCAAUUUUAUAAAGCUAGACUUAGCCAUGGUUAAUAGAGCCGGUCAACCUCGUGCCAGCCACCGCGGUUAUACGAAGGGCCCAAAAUAACAGACUGCGGCGUAAAUAGUGACUAAAAUAUUUACUAAUAAUAAGAAACAAACAUAAAUCCUAACCGUAAAAUCUGGGGUUAAUGAAGCCCUCUUUCUUUCAAUAAGGUUAUUUGAUUCACGAAAGCUAGGAAACAAACUAGGAUUAGAUACCCUACUAUGCCAAGCUGUAAAUUAACAACAUAAAACUUAUAGUGUCCGCCAGAAUAUUACGGGCGAAAAGCCUAAAACUCAAAAGACUUGGCGGUGCUUCACACACGAUUUAGAGGGGCCUGUCCUAUAAUCGAUACUCCACGAUAAACCUAACCUGCCCUUGCUAGACUAGCCUAUAUACCGCUGUCCAUAAUUUACACUGUGAAGAUAUUAUAGUAAGUAAAAAAGUCUAACACAAGAAAGUCAGGUCAAGGUGUAGCUUAUGAGGCGGAAGAGAUGGGCUACAUUUUUUAAAAUAAAACACACGACAAGAUAUUUUGAAACACGCAUCUAAAGGAGGAUUUAAUAGUAAAAUAAACAAGAAGGCUUAUUUUAAACACGCCCUGAAGCACGCACACACCGCCCGUCACCCUCCUCAACAACCCUAAAUAAUUUAUAAUAAAAACAACCAAAAAGAUGAGGUAAGUCGUAACAUGGUAAGUGCACUGGAAAGUGUACUUGGAUAAACAAAGAGUAGCUUAAACUAAAGCAUUCAGCUUACAAUUGAAUAAUGCUAGAGCCUCUUUGCGCUAAAAUAUAGCCUAAUAAAACUAGCAAAACAAAGCAAAACAUACAAAACAAACCAUUUGAUAAGUUUAGUAGAGGAGAUC